AUUGAACGCUGGCGGCAUGCCUUACACAUGCAAGUCGAACGGCAGCACGGGAGCAAUCCUGGUGGCGAGUGGCGAACGGGUGAGUAAAGUAUCGGAACGUGCCCAGUCGUGGGGGAUAACGUAGCGAAAGUUACGCUAAUACCGCAUACGAUCUAUGGAUGAAAGCGGGGGAUCGCAAGACCUCGCGCGAUUGGAGCGGCCGAUAUCAGAUUAGGUAGUUGGUGGGGUAAAGGCUCACCAAGCCGACGAUCUGUAGCUGGUCUGAGAGGACGACCAGCCACACUGGGACUGAGACACGGCCCAGAUUCCUACGGGAGGCAGCAGUUGGGAAUUUUGGACAGUGGGCGAAAGCCUGAUCCAGCCAUGCCGCGUGCAGGAUGAAGGCCUUCGGGUUGUAAACUGCUUUUGUACGGAACGAAAAGGUUUGGCCUAAUAAGCUGAGCUCAUGACGGUACCGUAAGAAUAAGCACCGGCUAACUACGUGCCAGCCGCCGCGGUAA
Molecule: ribosomal RNA, 500 nt
Filed under: uncultured bacterium
Lineage: Bacteria
Description: partial 16S ribosomal RNA
Rfam family: Bacterial small subunit ribosomal RNA
Source: RNAcentral